GGUGAGAUGGCCGAGCGGUCUAAGGCGCCAGCUUAAGGUUAAUCUAAUACGCUGGUCCGAAAGGGCAGGGGUUCGAAUCCCCUUCUCAUCA
Molecule: transfer RNA, 91 nt
Filed under: Aureobasidium pullulans
Lineage: Eukaryota; Fungi; Ascomycota; Dothideomycetes; Dothideales; Saccotheciaceae
Also listed under: 1 other name
Description: tRNA-Leu
Rfam family: tRNA
About the family: Transfer RNA (tRNA) molecules are approximately 80 nucleotides in length. Their secondary structure includes four short double-helical elements and three loops (D, anti-codon, and T loops).
Source: RNAcentral